Molecule: ribosomal RNA, 446 nt
Filed under: Clostridioides difficile
Lineage: Bacteria; Bacillati; Bacillota; Clostridia; Peptostreptococcales; Peptostreptococcaceae
Description: bacterial SSU rRNA
Rfam family: Bacterial small subunit ribosomal RNA
Source: RNAcentral
UUUAAUUCGAAGCAACGCGAAGAACCUUACCUAAGCUUGACAUCACAAUGACAUCUCCUUAAUCGGAGAGUUCCCUUCGGGGACAUUGGUGACAGGUGGUGCAUAGUUGUCGUCAGCUCGUGUCGUGCGAUGUUGGGUUAAGUCCCGCAACGAGCGCAACCCUUGUCUUUAGUUGCCAUCAUUAAGUUGGGCACUCUAGAGAGACUGCCAGGGAUAACCUGGAGGAAGGUGGGGAUGACGUCAAAUCAUCAUGCCCCUUAUGCUUAGGGCUACACACGUGCUACAAUGGGUAGUACAGAGGGUUGCCAAGCCGUAAGGUGGAGCUAAUCCCUUAAAGCUACUCUCAGUUCGGAUUGUAGGCUGAAACUCGCCUACAUGAAGCUGGAGUUACUAGUAAUCGCAGAUCAGAAUGCUGCGGUGAAUGCGUUCCCGGGUCUUGUACACAC